Molecule: ribosomal RNA, 2607 nt
Filed under: Triticum aestivum (bread wheat)
Lineage: Eukaryota; Viridiplantae; Streptophyta; Magnoliopsida; Poales; Poaceae
Description: partial small subunit ribosomal RNA
Source: RNAcentral
AUGGACACGGAGCCCUUCGACGAGGCGGACCUCCUCGCCCUCCCUGCCUCCCCCGUCGCAUCCCCUCCCCGCCGCCUCAAGCGCCUCAAGAAAUCCUUCCAGGCCGCCGCCGCCGUCUCCCCUCCCAAAUCCCCGCCGCCGCAGCCGCCGGCGGAGGAGGAAACCCUGGCCCCGCACCUCGGGUCUCCCCCUCCUCCUCCGAACCACUCCCCGUCGCCGCCGUCAGCGGAGGAAGCCGUCGCCCCGCGCCUAGGAUCUCCUCUUCCCAACGCCUCCCCGCCGCCGUCAGAGCAGCAAACCGUGGCCCCGCGCCUAGGGUCCCCUCUUCUUCCUCCUCCGCCGCCGCCAGCAGAUGCGGACGCCGCUGCCCCGGCGCCGUCCUCGCCUCCCGUCCCCGUGUCCUCGCCGCUGCCGCCGGCCGAUACGGCGGAGGACGAGGAGGAGGAGGAAGAUGAUGACGAUGACGGGCUCGAUCCGCUCUUCUCGGAGUCCGCCGGCGGCGCGGGGUGGGACCCGCUGGGUCUGCCGACGGGAGAGGACGAGGAGGAGGAGAUGCUGGCGGGAGGCGGGCUCAUCGAGGAGCUGCGGAGGGAGAAGGAGAAGUCCUCCGCCAAGAAGCGGCUCAACAUGGACGAGGGGGAAGACGGCGGGCGCGAGAUGGACGUCGAGCCGGAGCCGGAGGUCGCUGUGACGGGGAAGAGGAGCAAGAGGAAGAAGAAGGAUGCGGACGUGGAAGGGAAGGGGAAGAAGAAGAAGAAGGGGGAGGAUGGGGAGGGGAAGAAGAGGAAGAAGGACAAGGCGCCCAAGGAGUCGGUCGCAUCGAAGAAACGGGCUGAGAAGGAGAGGAGGGCUCAGCUUGAAUCCAUCCAUGCCGAGUCGCAGAGGCUGCUGCGAGAGACAAGAAAGGCAUCAUUUAAGCCAAUUGCAGAGCCAGUGUACAAACCCAUCUCCUCAGUUCUGGAGAAGAUCCGCCUUCGGAAGCUGGAGAUUCAGAAAAUGUCAAAUACUCCUGUCGAAGAAGAAGAGGAAGAAGAAGACCAAGACGAAGAAGAGGAGGAAGAAGAAGAUGCCUCUUCAGAGCCCGAGAGUGAUCCCGCUGAACAGCCAGCCAUGGCUGAGGCUAAGGAAGUGGGUUCAGAUGACAAAAAUUUGAAGAAUGAUGCUGCUGACAAGGAGGUUGGAGCAAAUACUGGUGACCUGAAUGACCACGCCAGUCUCCCUGAGGAUGAGGAUGCUGUGAUUAGUGACAAGGAUCUUAAUAAACGUGGUAGCAAAUCUCCAAACAAGGAACUUGUUGAUAAUUCUCAAGAUAAACACGAAGACAAUGCCCAACCAAGUGACGACUCCAUCGAUGCUGUAGAUGAAGAAGCCCAUCUGCCUCCCUCUUCAAGCCCUACCAAGAAUACAGAUGAUAGUUCUUCAGAAGAUGAAGAAGAGGAAGAAGAUAAUGACAAGGAGAACAUAUAUCCAGGCAUUAAAAAAAAUGAUGUAAAUACCCAUCAACAACCUCGACGAACUCUUGCAAGUGAUUCACGUCCAGAUGCUGCUGUCCUGAAAGACUUUCUAGACGUUGAAGCUGAGGAAGAGGAUGACAGUGAUGAUGACAUGGCGAGGUUUAAGGACAACGAAGAAGAUGAUGGCGAUGAUGAAAAUGAAGUACUUACUGCUCUGAUUGCUGCUGGAUUUGAAGAAGAAGAAGUAGAUCAUGAGAAACGUAAUGCACUCCACCAAAAGUGGCUUCAGGAUCAAGAUGCCGCUGAAACAAAUAAUUUCAUUCAAAGAUUAAAAUAUGGUCAUCAGGAGCAGAAAGUGUUAAUGGAGGAAGACGAAGAUGAUAUCGAAGACUGUGAGGACGAAUCAGAAAAUGAAAGGUCACAUGACUUGACUCCAAAUAUUGUGCGGAAGAAUUCUGAGAAGGCAAAACAAAUGAUUGCCAAAAUGUUCACAGACGAGAAUGACACUUAUGAGCACUCUGAUGAUGAGGAAAUAGAGGAGCAUUUGGCCCGUCAACGUAUUUCAAAGCGAGAAGUUCAUAGUACUUCAUUCACAUCUCCAUUGGAAGAUGACAGUUCAAGGGAAAUGUUUAGCCUUAUAAAGAAGCUCAAUAUUGCUCCUCAACCCCCCAAGAGGAGGGGAAAGCAAGCCACAUCAAAUCUUGAAAUGCUUAUGGUCGGAAGUAACAGCAACUCAUCUUCAAAGUCGUCUUUUCUCGGCCGAACAACGAGUGGUCCAAUCUCGUCUUCUCAUAGAUCAACUUACAAAGGCUACAUUUUCGGUCGUGAUGACAGCAAUAGCAACAGCAAGAGCUGCUUUGCAGCCUCUGAGAGUAACUCGGAUGUGCAGGACCAGGCGAACCCCAGCCAACCCAAGAAAGCGAAGUUCAGCAGUUCACAGACAAAGCCAGCCGCACCAGGCACAAGCUCCGAGGGCGGCUCGAGUUCAGGCGCCUCUCUGUUCGAGCUCCUGCGCAGGUCAACUUCCGCCGCCGAAAAGCAAGAGCACAAGCGCCCUGAAAGCUUCGGCAUCAUCACGGAGAGCCAAGCCGUGCACCAGUUCUCGGCGUUCAAGCUGUCAAGGAAGUUCUCCAAGAUAGGAGCAAGGAACUGA